GAUGAACGCUGGCGGCGUGCUUAACACAUGCAAGUCGAACGAAGCACUUUAUUUGAUUUCCUUCGGGACUGAUUAUUUUGUGACUGAGUGGCGGACGGGUGAGUAACGCGUGGGUAACCUGCCUUGUACAGGGGGAUAACAGUUGGAAACGGCUGCUAAUACCGCAUAAGCGCACAGCAUCGCAUGAUGCAGUGUGAAAAACUCCGGUGGUAUAAGAUGGACCCGCGUUGGAUUAGCUAGUUGGUGAGGUACCGGCCCACCAAGGCGACGAUCCAUAGCCGACCUGGGAGGGUGACCGGCCACAUUGGGGCUGGGACACGGCCCAAACUCCUACGGGAGGCAGCAGUGGUGAAUAUUGAACAAUGGGCGAAAGCCUGAGGCAGCGACGCCGCGUGAGCGAAGAAGUAUUUCGGUAUGAAAGGCUCUAUCAGCAGGGAAGAUAAUGACGGUACCUGACUAAGAAGCACCGGCUAAAUACGU
RNAcentral lists this ribosomal RNA (480 nucleotides) under uncultured bacterium. RNAcentral's name for it is "partial 16S ribosomal RNA". It matches the Rfam family "Bacterial small subunit ribosomal RNA", at positions 28 to 506 of the family's 1533-position model. The record is from RNAcentral.